CCUACGGGGAGCAGCAGUGGGGAAUCUUGCACAAUGGGGGAAACCCUGAUGCAGCGACGCCGCGUGAGUGAAGAAGUAAUUCGUUAUGUAAAGCUCUAUCAGCAGGGAAGAAAAUGACGGUACCUGAGUAAGAAGCCCCGGCUAACUAAGUGACAGCAGCCGCGGGAAUACGUAGGGGGAAAGCGUUAUCCGGCGUUACUGGGUGUAAAGGGAGCGUAGGCGGCAGUGCAAGUCUGGAGUGAAAGGUGGGGGCGCAAACCGCGGACUGCUCAGGAAACUGUCAGGCUGGAGUGCAGGAGAGGGAAGUGGAAUUCCUAGGGUAGCGGUGAAAUGCGUAGAUAUUAGGAGGAACACGAGUGGCGAAGGCGGCUUAAUGGACUGUAACUGACGUUGAGGCUCGAAAGCGUGGGGAGCGAACAGGAUUAGAUACCCGGGUAGUC
This 440-nucleotide ribosomal RNA is filed under the name uncultured bacterium. Its description in RNAcentral is "partial 16S ribosomal RNA". It matches the Rfam family "Bacterial small subunit ribosomal RNA", at positions 338 to 795 of the family's 1533-position model. The record is from RNAcentral.